GAUGAACGCUAGCUCCAGGCUUAACACAUGCAAGUCGCGGGGCAGCAUGGGGGUUGCUUGCAAUCCCCGAUGGCGACCGGCGCACGGGUGAGUAACGCGUAUCCAACCUGCCCUUCACCACGGGAUAACCCGGCGAAAGUCGGACUAAUACCGUAUGUUGUCCAUUGACGGCAUCCGAUUUGGACGAAAGGCUUGGCGGUGAGGGAUGGGGAUGCGUCCGAUUAGCCAGACGGCGGGGUAACGGCCCACCGUGGCUACGAUCGGUAGGGGUUCUGAGAGGAAGGUCCCCCACACUGGAACUGAGACACGGUCCAGACUCCUACGGGAGGCAGCAGUGAGGAAUAUUGGUCAAUGAGCGUAAGCCUGAACCAGCCAAGUAGCGUGCAGGAUGACGGCCCUAUGGGUUGUAAACUGCUUUUAUGCGGGGAUAAAGUGGCCCACGUGUGGGCUUUUGCAGGUACCGCAUGAAUAAGGACCGGCUAAUUCCGUG
RNAcentral lists this ribosomal RNA (490 nucleotides) under uncultured bacterium. Its description in RNAcentral is "partial 16S ribosomal RNA". It matches the Rfam family "Bacterial small subunit ribosomal RNA", at positions 28 to 507 of the family's 1533-position model. The record is from RNAcentral.